AGCGGUUAGUGGCGGACUGGUGAGUAACGCGUAAGCAAUCUGCCUAUUAGAGGGGAAUAACAGUGAGAAAUCACUGCUAAUACCGCAUAUGCCAUGAACAUCGCAUGAUGAAAAUGGGAAAGGAGUAAUCCGCUAAUAGAUGAGCUUGCGUCUGAUUAACUAGUUGGUGUGGUAAUGGCAUACCAAGGUAACGAUCAGUAGCCGGACUGAGAGGUUGAACGGCCACAUUGGGACUGAGAUACGGCCCAGACUCC
Molecule: ribosomal RNA, 254 nt
Filed under: uncultured Oscillospiraceae bacterium
Lineage: Bacteria; Bacillati; Bacillota; Clostridia; Eubacteriales; Oscillospiraceae
Description: partial 16S ribosomal RNA
Rfam family: Bacterial small subunit ribosomal RNA
Source: RNAcentral